UCCCUGGUGGUCCAGUGGUUAAGACUCUGUGCUUCCAACGCAGGGGGCAUGGGUUCAAUGCCUGGUCAGGGAA
This is a non-coding RNA of Bos taurus (domestic cattle), 73 nucleotides long. The record is from Rfam. Lineage: Eukaryota; Metazoa; Chordata; Mammalia; Artiodactyla; Bovidae.